RNAcentral lists this unclassified non-coding RNA (175 nucleotides) under Roseovarius azorensis. Its description in RNAcentral is "caulobacter sRNA CC2171". The record is from RNAcentral. Lineage: Bacteria; Pseudomonadati; Pseudomonadota; Alphaproteobacteria; Rhodobacterales; Roseobacteraceae.
CAACAAGCGAAAGGAGGUGGUCCAGUGUCUGCAGAGGUAUUGGAGCGAGGUGUCGGAACAGUUCGGGAGGUCAUCGCCUAGGGCAGCCCCGAGGCGGAAGCGAAACCCGAAUUGGUGCGCCUAACCGGCCCACCUCCGUAACUUCCAGAGGGCCGUUCCGGGAUCGGGGCGGCCC